AUCCGUAACUGGUCUGAGAGGAUUAUCAGUCACACUGGAACUGAGACACGGUCCAGACUCCUACGGGAGGCAGCAGUGGGGAAUAUUGGACAAUGGGCGAAAGCCUGAUCCAGCCAUGCCGCGUGUGUGAAGAAGGUCUUCGGAUUGUAAAGCACUUUAAGUUGGGAGGAAGGGCAUUAACCUAAUACGUUAGUGUUUUGACGUUACCGACAGAAUAAGCACCGGCUAACUCUGUGCCAGCAGCCGCGGUAAUACAGAGGGUGCAAGCGUUAAUCGGAAUUACUGGGCGUAAAGCGCGCGUAGGUGGUUCGUUAAGUUGGAUGUGAAAGCCCCGGGCUCAACCUGGGAACUGCAUUCAAAACUGACGAGCUAGAGUAUGGUAGAGGGUGGGUGGAAUUUCCUGUGUAGCGGUGAAAUGCGUAGAUAUAGGAAGGAACACCAGUGGCGAAGGCGACCACCUGGACUGAUACUGACACUGAGGUGCGAAAGCGUGGGGAGCAAACAGGAUUAGAUACCCUGGUAGUCCACGCCGUAAACGAUGUCAACUAGCCGUUGGGAGCCUUGAGCUCUUAGUGGCGCAGCUAACGCAUUAAGUUGACCGCCUGGGGAGUACGGCCGCAAGGUUAAAACUCAAAUGAAUUGACGGGGGCCCGCACAAGCGGUGGAAGCAUGUGGUUUAAUUCGAAGCAACGCGAAGAACCUUACCAGGCCUUGACAUCCAUGAACUUUCCAGAGAUGGAUUGGUGCCUUCGGAACAUUGAAACAGUG
This 768-nucleotide ribosomal RNA is filed under the name Pseudomonas sp. Its description in RNAcentral is "bacterial SSU rRNA". It matches the Rfam family "Bacterial small subunit ribosomal RNA", at positions 279 to 1039 of the family's 1533-position model. Lineage: Bacteria; Pseudomonadati; Pseudomonadota; Gammaproteobacteria; Pseudomonadales; Pseudomonadaceae. The record is from RNAcentral.